This 429-nucleotide ribosomal RNA is filed under the name Chloroflexota bacterium. RNAcentral's name for it is "Chloroflexi bacterium partial 16S ribosomal RNA". It matches the Rfam family "Bacterial small subunit ribosomal RNA", at positions 355 to 776 of the family's 1533-position model. The record is from RNAcentral. Lineage: Bacteria; Bacillati; Chloroflexota.
UGGGGAAUAUUGCACAAUGGGCGCAAGCCUGAUGCAGCCAUGCCGCGUGUAUGAAGAAGGCUUUCGGGUUGUAAAGUACUUUCAGCGGGGAGGAAGGGAGUAAAGUUAAUACCUCUGCCCAUUGACGUUACCCGCAGAAGAAGCACCGGCUAACUCCGUGCCAGCAGCCGCGGUAAUACGGAGGGUGCAAGCGGUAAUCGGAAUUACUGGACGUAAAGCGGACGCAGGCGGUUGGUUAAGUCAGAUGUAAAAUCCCCAAGCUCAACCGAGGAACUGCAUCUGAUACUGGCAAGCUUGAGUCUCGUAGAGGGGGGUAGAAUACCAGGUGUAGCGGUGGAAUGCGUAGAGAUCUGGAGGAAUACCAGUGGCGGAGGCGGCCCCCUGGACGAAGACUGACGCUCAGGUGCGAAAGCGUGGGGAGCAAACAGG